RNAcentral lists this ribosomal RNA (427 nucleotides) under uncultured beta proteobacterium. Its description in RNAcentral is "bacterial SSU rRNA". It matches the Rfam family "Bacterial small subunit ribosomal RNA", at positions 355 to 774 of the family's 1533-position model. Lineage: Bacteria; Pseudomonadati; Pseudomonadota; Betaproteobacteria. The record is from RNAcentral.
UGGGGAAUUUUGGACAAUGGGCGAAAGCCUGAUCCAGCCAUGCCGCGUGAGUGAAGAAGGCCUUCGGGUUGUAAAGCUCUUUUAGUCGGAAUGAAAAGAUCAUAAUGAACAAUUAUGAUUCAUGACGGUACCGACAGAAAAAGCACCGGCUAACUACGUGCCAGCAGCCGCGGUAAUACGUAGGGUGCGAGCGUUAAUCGGAAUUACUGGGCGUAAAGGGUGCGCAGGCGGUUUUGUAAGUCAGAUGUGAAAUCCCCGGGCUUAACCUGGGAAUUGCGUUUGAAACUGCAAGACUAGAGUGCAGCAGAGGGGAGUGGAAUUCCAUGUGUAGCAGUGAAAUGCGUAGAGAUGUGGAAGAACACCGAUGGCGAAGGCAGCUCCCUGGGUUGACACUGACGCUCAUGCACGAAAGCGUGGGGAGCAAACA